UCGAGAAUAUUCCACAAUGGGCGAAAGCCUGAUGGAGCGACGCCGCGUGCAGGAUGAAGCCCUUCGGGGUGUAAACUGCUUUUAUAUGGGAAAAACUUUUGUGAUUGUACUAUGUGAAUAAGGGGCUGCAAACUUCGUGCCAGCAGCCGCGGUAAUACGAAGGCCCCAAGCGUUAUCCGGAUUUAUUGGGCGUAAAGCGUGCGUAGGAGGUUCGGUAAGUUCGUUGUUAAAUUUCACUGCUUAACGGUGGAGCCGCAACGAAUACUGCCAAACUAGAGUGUGCGAGAGGCUAAUAGAACUCACGGUGUAGGGGUGAAAUCCGUUGAUAUCGUGGGGAAUACCAAAGGCGAAGGCAUUUAGCUGGCGCAUUACUGACUCUAAGGCACGAAAGCGUGGGGAGCAAAAAGG
This 408-nucleotide ribosomal RNA is filed under the name uncultured bacterium. Its description in RNAcentral is "bacterial SSU rRNA". It matches the Rfam family "Bacterial small subunit ribosomal RNA", at positions 355 to 776 of the family's 1533-position model. The record is from RNAcentral.